This is a long non-coding RNA of Mustela lutreola (European mink), 2925 nucleotides long. RefSeq lists it as uncharacterized. NCBI's taxonomy places the organism in Eukaryota, Metazoa, Chordata, Mammalia, Carnivora, Mustelidae. The record is from RefSeq and is a predicted model, not a curated record. The transcript has 3 exons.
AUUGGUGUGCGGGACACUGGGGACCCGCCUUCCUGUGUGACGUCACUGUCCAGUGCAAAUUUCCAAGCAACCGGACGGGGGCGAGAGGAGACGUUGGGGUGUCCCGGGAAGUUGUACAACCUCCAGGGUGCUGCUGCGGCGCUUGAGGCUGGCUGGGCGGAGGAGGGGGUCUGGUAGUAACUGGAGAGGGUUGUCCAGUUCCCCGGCGGGGACAUGCCCAUUCCCGGGGGUGGAGGGAGAUCAGAAACCACGCAUAAUCUUUUUCCAGAGCCCGGGGUUUUGCAAAUAGUGUUGCUCAGCAAGCGUUGGCAUUCCUAAGGCCUGGAGAGUGGACAGUUACUGCGAAUGCCAUUUCUGGAGCAGUUAUGAUAGUCAGGUAGGGGGUGAGGGCACACGUGCGGGCGGAGUGGAGUUCGAGAAUUGGAGACUCACUGCAUGCUAUCAGUGGCUCAUACCUCCUUUUGUGCAGCACAAGGGCAUAUACCGUGGAAGAGACAGAGUCAAGGUCCUGUGCUAGGCUGCUUUGCUGGGAAGUACAUCGUUUAGCUGAAAUUUUUUUCCCUCGCUGGAAACACACAGAGCUAAAUGCGUUCCUCUUCUUAUUCUCACAAAGAAGCUUAAAGCCACCCCGUCCUGGACUGAGCAAGACAUGACUAGUCAUCAGAAUGGAGCUUUUCAGCACCUUCAGCACAUUUUUCUCAGGACUAAUAAGCCUGGGAGGUCUUUAGAGGCCGGUCUCUCACUCAGGUGCUAAGUGGCUCCCAGUAAAAUCUUAGAGCAUUACAUCUACCUGCCUUCUAAGACUCUGGUCUCCGGGUUCUUAAACUCAUCUUGAGCUGACCUCUUAAAGUGUAACACAGGUUGCUUUAUUUCAACCUAAACAGUAUUGUCUUGCUGUAUUUCGGGGAUGGAGGAGAAAUCAGAAAGCAGGGGACCUGUCUAUGGAAGUCUUCUCUGGGAAAGUAGGGCACCUGCACGUCUAAAUGUUCUGGGGCUUAAGACUUGGCACUUCUGAGAUACCAGACACCUUAUCCAGAGAAGCCUUCUGGUCAGGAGAGCUGGGCCUUGAGAUAGGAAAGGGUGGGGGAGAUCCCCAAGAUGCUGCACCCACUCUACCCUCACCCUGCUCCCAAGCUUCAGGUCACAGCAACCCAGGCACCUUCCAGGGAUUCGAGAUACAGUGAUGUGAGCAUUGUCCUUGAAGGCCAAGGGCACCAAUUUCCCAUUUUGGGUAGCGGCCAAUAGAUGUAGUCUUCUAAUGGAUGAGGAGCCUUCUGGACUUUGCAAUGGUGAUAUUGGUGGAGAGAAGCCAUCCUCUGGAUGAUUAAGGGGACUCCUGGCAAACGUAAACAGGCCCAUAAACUUAAGAGAUAUCAGACGUUUUAAGAACUUCAUUAAGGGGGCGCCUGGGUGGAUCAGUGGGUUAAAGCCUCUGCCUUCAGCUCAGGUCAUGAUCCCAGGGUCCUGGAAUCGAGCCCCGCAUCGGGCUCUCUGCUCAGCGGGAAGCCUGCUUCCUCCUCUCUCUCUCUCUCUCUCUCUCUCUCUCUGCUUGCCUCUCCUCCUACUUAUGAUCUCUCUCUCUCUUCUCUCUCUCUCUCUCUGUGUCAAAUAAAUAAAAUUUAAAAAACUUCACUAAGUAAAUAUUAAGCCAGAAUAAUUUAGAAAAUAUUUGGAAUACUAUAAGCAUUCAAUAUUUUUUUCUCAUCCUGUAAGGUAGAUAUGGUGGGUUGGCACUCAGCAUCUAUCUUAAACUCCUUCUUGUACUGCAGUGGCCAGAAAUUUGUAAACCUCAUUAAUCAGAUCCUUGCAGCUCAUAGUCCAGAUGUGAAUUCUUAUAUUGUGCCAGUUGGAUGAACUGGAGAGAUCUGGGAGGCAGAAAAGAGAAGGAGGUCACCUUCCUGCUGCUUUGAUGUUUUCUGCUGCCUAGCAAAGCCAUAGACACUUGGAUAAGAGUGGGCAAUGACUUUCCUCUUGCAACAGCCCUGCAGUGUCUGGUCACCAGAUUCAUGGAUGUCAAGAAGCAAUGUGGCAGCAGGAACGGUAGCAACCUCCUGAUCCCUGUACCGUAGCUUCAGCAGAUGGCCUUCCUCGCCUUCCAGGACAUGCCAGAGGACCCCUUGGGAUGCCAGUUUGGGAAUGUGGAUCUGAGAGUUUUUCCUGAAGGCCCAGCCUAGGUUUCAGCUCCAACAAUACUGUAUAUGGUAGCAGGAGGGCAUAAUACGGAAGGAACCAUUCCUGGACAUCAGAAUACAGCCACUAGCCCUGGUCCUAGACUUCUGUGCAAGGCUACCAGCUACCAUCACCCAGUGCUUUAGCCCCACUGUCAACAAAGAGGGCAUAGGGGCUCAGGAGCAGAGCCGUGAUCCUUUCCUAUAGAGUGAACCUGGAGACUCAAGAUGACUUGGCUCGGUUCCACUGGGGUCUCUAUGUAAAGUUCCUGAAUGUGACAUUCUGAAGAUGUCAUCAUACUGCCAUAGCCCAUCUGGGAGCCAGCCUUCAUUUUGAAAGGGGAGUGGGGAGCUGAAGAGGGUAGAAGGUGAAGAGCACUUGACUUGGAGUUAUGGACUUGUUUGAACCCUGGUUCCGCCAUUUACUUGCUAUGUGGUUCCUGCCCAUUGGUUGGCAUACUUCCUCAUUUGUUGGUGAAGGAAGCACAAAAAAUGAGAAAAUAAAAAUCUCGUGGUGAAGCAUAUAUGAUUUGGGAGUACUGAAAGGAAAGAAAAUGGGAAGGAGUUAACAGUACAGAGGAAAAGUCAUGGAAUACGGACUUAUCAACCUCUUGGAAGACAUAAUACCAGGAGGAGUAGCUUCCCAGAAUGCUGAAAGUCAAGGUUAUUUUUAAAAUCUCUAACAACAGAAAAUUGUACACUUGAACCCUACCCAGCGUGGACAGGCUAUAAGGCCAGAGUGCUCGAGGACUACUGA